AACGCACAUUGCGCCCGCCAGCAUUCUGGCGGGCAUGCCUGUCCGAGCGUCAUUUCAACCCUCAGGCCCAGCCUGGCGUUGGGGCACCGCGCAGCGCGCGCGGGCCCUGAAAUACAGUGGCGAGCCCGCCUGGACUCCGAGCGUAGUAGUGUAACAGCCUCGCUCAGGGCGUCCCGGCGCGCGUCGGCCGUAAAACCCCCAACUAUCAAAGGUUGACCUCGGAUCAGGUAGGAAUACCCGCUGAACUUAA
This 250-nucleotide unclassified non-coding RNA is filed under the name uncultured Calosphaeriales. RNAcentral's name for it is "sequence contains 5.8S rRNA gene, ITS2, 28S rRNA gene". The record is from RNAcentral. Lineage: Eukaryota; Fungi; Ascomycota; Sordariomycetes.